Non-coding RNA from Ktedonobacter racemifer DSM 44963, 118 nucleotides. The record is from Rfam. Lineage: Bacteria; Bacillati; Chloroflexota; Ktedonobacteria; Ktedonobacterales; Ktedonobacteraceae.
GCGAGCCGUGUGCAUGGAAAUCGUGCCCGCACGGUUCUGAGGGGGACCGUUGGAAAAGGGCUCUAUUCAGUUGUUCAUGUACAAGUGAGUAGGGCACCUCGCUGGCGGUCUACCCUAC